Molecule: ribosomal RNA, 497 nt
Filed under: uncultured bacterium
Lineage: Bacteria
Description: partial 16S ribosomal RNA
Rfam family: Bacterial small subunit ribosomal RNA
Source: RNAcentral
GAUGAACGCUGGCGGCGUGCCUAAUACAUGCAAGUCGAGCGAACAGACGAGGAGCUUGCUCCUCUGACGUUAGCGGCGGACGGGUGAGUAACACGUGGAUAACCUACCUAUAAGACUGGGAUAACUUCGGGAAACCGGAGCUAAUACCGGAUAAUAUAUUGAACCGCAUGGUUCAAUAGUGAAAGACGGUUUUGCUGUCACUUAUAGAUGGAUCCGCGCCGCAUUAGCUAGUUGGUAAGGUAACGGCUUACCAAGGCAACGAUGCGUAGCCGACCUGGGAGGGUGAUCGGCCACACUGGAACUGGGACACGGUCCAGACUCCUACGGGAGGCAGCAGUAGGGAAUCUUCCGCAAUGGGCGAAAGCCUGACGGAGCAACGCCGCGUGAGUGACGAAGGUCUUCGGAUCGUAAAACUCUGUUAUUAGGGAAGAACAAAUGUGUAAGUAACUAUGCACGUCUUGACGGUACCUAAUCAGAAAGCCACGGCUAACUACGUG